Molecule: long non-coding RNA, 2960 nt
Organism: Tigriopus californicus
Lineage: Eukaryota; Metazoa; Arthropoda; Copepoda; Harpacticoida; Harpacticidae
Exons: 4
Source: RefSeq, a predicted model, not a curated record
CAGGCGGGGAUCAUGGAGCGAAUCGUACGAUUUUUCGUUUUGUGCGGCCGCUCCUUCGAGGGCCCUCAUUCCUUUGUAUGGCCUCAGGAUAUGCUGUCUCGCGAGCAUCUUGAUCGGGCGCUGGCCGGAGGAGCCGACGAUUGCGGCGAAAGCGACCAGAGGGCGUAUCUACUUCAUAUGAGCGUCCGAGAUCGUGUACUGAUGCAAUUAUUCCGCCCAACUGCCAUUUUCCCGUUAGAAUUUUCCCGCAGAACUCAUCUGAGGAGGAGUUCAGCCCCAUUGGUGCGACUGUGUACAUCCACUUACCGCUCGGCAACAGGAACGCAGUCAGAAGCAUGCUGUCCACGUCAAGUGGCACCUGGAAGUAUCCAUGAACACAAUCCAGCUUGCAGAACCACUUACUGGACGAGUCUACCCUCUUCAUGAGGUCACCAGCAGAAUAGAAUGGAUGUAUUGGCCUGCGAAUUGCCCGAUUCAAUUGUCUAUAAUCGGUUACCAAGCGAACUUUCUUACCACCUGGUUUUGUCACGAAAUGUGCGGGAGAGCACCACUCUGUUGGGACGUUACAUGGGACGAUAACGCCAGCUUUGGCAAGCUCACUGGUUAGUUUGAUUGAUGCUUGCGAAAGCGCAACAGGUGUCAUUCUUGCUGUGGUCACUUGACAUGGUUUAACCUUGCUAGUGGGAUCGAUUUGAAUACUCAUUUUUGGCCCCCUGAUGCCGCCAGAUGCGGCGCCCAAAUCGGAACAAAGAACCUUGCCGACAAAUGGGUCCAGGAUGCGACUGAUCUCAGAGUUUAAAAACCCAAAGUCGAGCUCUGAGUUUCCGGCAUCGCAAGUGUAAACCCGGAGAAGAGAUCCCAAAGUUUCUUCAACAAGAGGCUGAUCUCCACCAGCUUGAAGAUCACCCAAGCUGAUCCCAGCAUCCUCGGACCCGUCGACCUUCGACACCGUGCCUGGGAGGACUGGAGUGACAUCAGGUGAAAUAUUAGCAGCUACCCCACUUCCUGUAGGAUUCGGGAAUGAUUCCGGGAUGACUCCCAAAGAAAUUAAAUCAUAAUACCCAAUUAGGGGUGGGCCUGUCAGAUCAAGAGACCGGACAGCCUCCACUUUAGCGCGUGGACCAGAGCUGGUUUGUGCCAUGAAAGAGAAGACACCAUCAAUAUUCACGGGUGAACCGGUAGCAGUCUGCAGUUUCAGAUUGAAGGGCAAAGUUCUGACAUCGGGCACGAAUGCAACCGGAAACACUGAGCGAUCAGCACCAGUGUCUGGGACAGUCUGAAUUUUUCGUGAUUUGCCAUUGAUUUCGCAGUGCAAGGACUCCUUGCGCGGGUUUUGGGAGAAAUUGAUUGUUGUGCAAAGGGUCGGCCACGGUCUUGAGCACUCUCGUAUAUUGAUGACCGACAUAUUCGACUGAGGUGUCCAGGUUUGCGGCAACGGUUGCAUAUCAUAUUCCGUGCGAAGCAGAUCUCACCAGUGGGAUGCACGGUGUUACCACAUCCAUUGCACUGACUGCGAACUGUACAGAGUGAUUCGACGUCGUCAGGCUCAUCAAUGUAUGACUCGUGAAUAGCAUGGAUUGUGGAGGCACUUGUGGGCACUGCUACCUCUUUAUUGAUGAGCGUUGCUUCAUGGCUGGCAGCUUUGGCAAUGACCUCGUCAAGUGUUGGGUUAGAAAGGUCGGACAACUUGUGGAACAAGAGGUUAUCGGUUUCCGCAGCGUGUUUGAUAUAUGGGUCGUGAGUGGCAUGUUCUUGGGCUUUGCCAUCUUGAACCAAUCCGUGCGGCGUUUAAAGAUUGGAUAGAUUGCAAGGAACUUAUCCACCAAGGCCUGAUAACAAUCCUCAAUGGGUUGGUCGUCAGUUAUGUUCCUCUGUAUUGGAGUUGAGAGGCUGGUUUCCAUGCACUUAAAGAACAGCCAAUUUCUCAUUUCAGGUGGCGAGUUUGUUUGUAAGAGGAGAUUCGGUUGGAAGUCGCGCUGAACCUUUGGCUCUCGUCCACGUACUGGGGCUAUGUUCGGUCCAGCUAUGCCUUGUGGAGGGCGUGUUGCCACCCGGGUAGCUGUUCGUAGCUCUUCCUUGAGUUUAUUCAACUCUACCCUUGCUUCUUCUGUGACUUUGAUGUCAAUCGCUAUCAUUUCCCCAUACUUGUCCGAAAUGACCUCCAGUUUGCUGCGAAGAUCUUGGAGUGAGCGAUAUGAGAAUUCGCCAGCUUCGGCAUCGCCAAUCGUAUCGGCGGCAAUGGAGAAGUGCCGCUUAAGCUGACCGACUGAUCUCCGGAGAGAAUCCAUAGUGCCGUGAAGUGUUCCCAGCGUGGGCUUGUCCGUCUAGCAGAUUUCUUCGGCCCGCAACGGUUGACCAGUGGGUUUAGCCGCCACCAACGAUCUUCUGACGCCUUCCUGGGGCGCGUUCGACCGAAGGGUUCGAUAGCCGUCUGACGUCUCCUGGACGUAUUGGGCUAGCAACUUCCUCUCGGACCUCCUCGGUCCAAAAUACGUUAUUGCGGGGAGCGUGGCUUUUACUGUGUGUUACAGAUUCCGUGGCGACUGCGCCAUGUUCUGUUGGAUAUGUAAUGGAGAUCAAGAGGUCUUCACGCAGAGAGUACGUGUACCAGAAUGAAUAUAUUGGCUUCUGAGGAUGGGUUGGGUGAUAGACAUCGGAACAUGAUAUAAUAAGAACCAAGAAUAUAACAAAAUCCAAGUCAAAUGUCUCUCUGAGUUUCUGUUCCUUAACGUUUGAAAAAAGGAAAUUAUAAAAAGAAUUCACUUCCUAUGUUUUACAAAUUAACAGGCGCAUUUAGGAAUCUUCCCGAGAUUUGAACAGCCAACGUAUCUUUUGACUCGUUCUAGCCAAGAGCUGUAAUUCAGCCCGAUUUCUUGACGAGGGCGUUGCAACGAGGGCAAGACAUUUUUUGACGCCGGUUGGAGGACAAUUGAACGUCUCAAAUGAUGGAGAAAGACAAA